AACCAACAAGCUGAUCAAUUGGGAAAUCUGCAUUUGAUUUUGCAUUGAGAGACGACUCAACAGCUUUCUUCCCUGCAAAACCUUGAGCUGCUUCUUUGGCCUUUCUUCUGAUCUUCUUCUUUUGGUUCUUAUUUACAUUCCCAUUGAAUGUUACGUGACCCUUCACGUCCUUUUUGUCAGGAAGAAUAAGAGGGGCUCCUGAUUUUCUCAGAUCCUUAGACGGAUCAAUCAUGGAACAGAGAAGAAUCUUCUUCUUUUGGUUCUUAUUUACAAUCCCAUUGAAUGUUACGUGACCCUUCACGUCCUUUUUGUCAGGAAGAAUAAGAGGGGCUCCUGAUUUUCUCAGAUCCUUAGACGGAUCAAUCAUGGAACAGAGAAGAAUGUUGUCUGGUUUCAAAU
Molecule: long non-coding RNA, 399 nt
Filed under: Nicotiana benthamiana
Lineage: Eukaryota; Viridiplantae; Streptophyta; Magnoliopsida; Solanales; Solanaceae
Description: long non-coding RNA (NBEN_LNC025472)
Source: RNAcentral